RNAcentral lists this transfer RNA (75 nucleotides) under Galba pervia. RNAcentral's name for it is "tRNA-Gly". Lineage: Eukaryota; Metazoa; Mollusca; Gastropoda; Lymnaeidae. The record is from RNAcentral.
UUUUUAAUAGUAUAAAUAAGUACGGUUACCUUCCAAGUAAAAAGUCGUCUAACGUUCUUAGAGUAGGUUAAAAAA